This 301-nucleotide ribosomal RNA is filed under the name uncultured bacterium. Its description in RNAcentral is "partial 16S ribosomal RNA". It matches the Rfam family "Bacterial small subunit ribosomal RNA", at positions 509 to 808 of the family's 1533-position model. The record is from RNAcentral.
CAGCAGCCGCGGUAAUACGUAGGUCCCGAGCGUUAUCCGGAUUUAUUGGGCGUAAAGCGAGCGCAGGCGGUUAGAUAAGUCUGAAGUUAAAGGCUGUGGCUUAACCAUAGUACGCUUUGGAAACUGUUUAACUUGAGUGCAGAAGGGGAGAGUGGAAUUCCAUGUGUAGCGGUGAAAUGCGUAGAUAUAUGGAGGAACACCGGUGGCGAAAGCGGCUCUCUGGUCUGUAACUGACGCUGAGGCUCGAAAGCGUGGGGAGCAAACAGGAUUAGAUACCCCUGUAGUCCCUGUCUCUUAUACA